UACGUAGGUGGCAAGCGUUGUCCGGAUUUACUGGGCGUAAAGGGCGUGCAGGCGGUUUGUUAAGUGCAGGGUGAAAGCUCCCGGCUCAACUGGGAGAGGUCUUUGCAUACUGGCAAACUCGAGGGAGGCAGAGGAAAGUGGAAUUCCCGGUGUAGUGGUGAUAUGCGUAGAUAUCGGGAGGAACACCUGUGGCGAAGGCGGCUUUCUGGGCCUUACCUGACGCUGAGACGCGAAAGCGUGGGGAGCGAACCGG
Molecule: ribosomal RNA, 253 nt
Filed under: uncultured bacterium
Lineage: Bacteria
Description: partial 16S ribosomal RNA
Rfam family: Bacterial small subunit ribosomal RNA
Source: RNAcentral